UAAUCGAUCAUUUCAAUAAACAUUUUUCCACGGCUGGCCAUGCUUUCCACCUGGCUGCCAACAUCUCAGCACCCCCUUGCAGCAACAAGAAAUUGGGUGUCUAUUUUAGGAACAAAUCUUACUUUUCAACGUUAGUCAAGGAUCUUGUUCAAAGCACUUUAUCAGUGCCGGAUUAUAGGGAUAGUCUAUAUGCAGACCUCAGUAAGUACCUUAAACUCUGGACACAGUGUAUCAUGGUGUUUUAAGAUUUAUUACAAAUGCUAGAUCACUCACCCAUCACUGUAUGCUAUGGUGCAAUGGACCUCUCUAAACCACUGGUACACUUGUGUACAAACAUUGAUAGGACAACUCCCUUUGUAUCUCUGUUCCUUACGGACCAGAUCAGUCACUCAAAGUCUUCGUUCACAGUCGCUGCUGUCCUUGUCUGUUCCUAAAGCUGGAACUGAGAUGGGGAUUUUUUUUUCUCCCAUAAUGCCCCUUCAUCCUGAAACAUGCUUCAAAAGACAAAGUUAGGGGACUUAGUGUCCUCGCCUGUUUUUAAGACUGAUCGACAACACUGUUUGCAAUAGCUUCAGUUGUUUCUAAUCUUUAAUUGUAUCUAACUUGUGACACUGUCUUGUUUGUAUUUAGAAUUUUUCUGUAAUAUUUCAUGUACACGCUAUUUCCUUAUUUGCCUUCUUGCCAGGUCACCCUCGCAAAAGAAGUUUGACCUCAAUGGGUCUUACCUGGUUAAAUUAAAAAAAAUACAAUCUACUGUACAUAAAGUAGAAGUUGUCUGAAACAAACUAAUAAUUGCUUGCUUACGGACAGGUUUUUAUUGGCCGCUUAUUGGGGAGGUCAAUAUUAGCUAAAGUUAAUUGUGCCUGUAAAAAAUAUCUCAAUAACGCAACUGAUCACCAGUUCUGGUUGUAUUGUGUGUUCAACUAAACAGAAAGGAUUUGAUGGAUAUGACAUGUUUUUGCUCUCUGGCAGUGCAGGGAAAAAAGAAAAACACUACUUAAAUCACAUUGCUAUUAUUUACAUGAUUCCAAUAUCUCUGUACGUUACAAUUAUACAAAAUGAAAAUCUGUAAAGAACACCCCUACCCACCCAAAUAAACGUUUUACAGGGGGGGAAAAGCAGGGAAGUACAAUAAACUGCAAAUUCUCCUCCAAGAAGAGCUAUCAUAGAUUUCAAUUCUCAGGGAAAACAAACAUGCAUAAUACCACUAAGCCAGAGAAAGUGUACAAUAUGCACACUUAAAAUAAGGGUACAAAAUUUAAAAGCAAUUAUUUUGCUAUGCUGAUGGAGAACAUAACUUUAAAAUGUCAAUUCUUUCUCUUUGGGCACUGCAGUAUAAAUAACUUGUCUUUUCGGUUGCAGGUCCAAGAACUUCCUAUCUUCACAAGAAGAAACGUUAAGCUUUUCUUUCGAGAUCGUGCCAAGGUGGCAGGAGGACCUGAGCCCUAGGAACAUGCCUCUACCUCGCCUGAUGACUCCUGACUGUCCCUGUCCCCAGUCCACCCAGUUGUGAUGCUGAUACAGUUCUGCAGCUGUGGAACCCUGACCUGAUUCAAUGGGUGUGCUACCGUGUCCCAGAACAGCUGUUUUCGCUCUCUCUCUCUCAAUCUCUCUCUCUCUCCUGCUGAUUCAACCUCUAAAUCACGUGUCAAAUUCACUCCAUGGAGUGCCGAGUGUCUGCGGAUUUCCACUCCACCGUUGAUGAAUUAAGGUCGCUAAUUAGUAAAGAACUCCCUUUGCCUGGUUGUCUAGGUCUUAAAUUGAAAGGAGAAAAAUAACCCAGAGACACUAGGCCCUCCAUGGAAUGAGUUUGACACCCCUGCUCUAAAUACAUGAAACUAUCAGUUGUCACCAUCAUCAGACCCUCUACUAAUAAGAUCCAGUGCCAUACAAUAAACAAAUAUUACAGCCCUA
Long non-coding RNA from Salmo salar (Atlantic salmon), 1914 nucleotides. RefSeq lists it as uncharacterized. Lineage: Eukaryota; Metazoa; Chordata; Actinopteri; Salmoniformes; Salmonidae. The record is from RefSeq and is a predicted model, not a curated record.